Molecule: ribosomal RNA, 2917 nt
Filed under: Aeromonas hydrophila
Lineage: Bacteria; Pseudomonadati; Pseudomonadota; Gammaproteobacteria; Aeromonadales; Aeromonadaceae
Description: bacterial LSU rRNA
Rfam family: Bacterial large subunit ribosomal RNA
Source: RNAcentral
GUUGUAUGGUUAAGUGACUAAGCGUACAUGGUGGAUGCCUUGGCAGUCAGAGGCGAUGAAGGACGUACUAACCUGCGAUAAGCCGUGAGCAGUCGGUAAGAGACAUUACGACUCACGGAUUUCCGAAUGGGGAAACCCACUUAGCAUAAGCUAGGUAUCGCUGCGUGAAUACAUAGCGUAGCGAGGCGAACCGGGAGAACUGAAACAUCUAAGUACCCCGAGGAAAAGAAAUCAACCGAGAUUCCCUCAGUAGCGGCGAGCGAACGGGGAUUAGCCCUUAAGCAUCUUGGAAGUUAGUGGAACGGUCCUGGAAAGGCCGGCGAUACAGGGUGAUAGCCCCGUACACGAAAACAACCUUGAUGUGAAAUCGAGUAGGGCGGGACACGUGACAUCCUGUCUGAAUAUGGGGGGACCAUCCUCCAAGGCUAAAUACUCCUGACUGACCGAUAGUGAACCAGUACCGUGAGGGAAAGGCGAAAAGAACCCCUGUGAGGGGAGUGAAAUAGAACCUGAAACCGUGUACGUACAAGCAGUGGGAGCCCUUCGGGGUGACUGCGUACCUUUUGUAUAAUGGGUCAGCGACUUACAUUUUGUAGCGAGGUUAACCGUAUAGGGGAGCCGUAGGGAAACCGAGUCUUAACUGGGCGUCUAGUUGCAAGGUGUAGACCCGAAACCGGGUGAUCUAGCCAUGGGCAGGUUGAAGGUUGAGUAACAUCAACUGGAGGACCGAACCCACUAACGUUGCAAAGUUAGGGGAUGACCUGUGGCUGGGGGUGAAAGGCCAAUCAAACUCGGAGAUAGCUGGUUCUCCCCGAAAGCUAUUUAGGUAGCGCCUCGGACGAAUACUACUGGGGGUAGAGCACUGUUUGGGCUAGGGGGUCAUCCCGACUUACCAACCCCAUGCAAACUCCGAAUACCAGUAAGUAAUAUCCGGGAGACACACGGCGGGUGCUAACGUCCGUCGUGAAGAGGGAAACAACCCAGACCGCCGGCUAAGGUCCCAAAGUUCUGGUUAAGUGGGAAACGAUGUGGGAAGGCUCAGACAGCUAGGAUGUUGGCUUAGAAGCAGCCAUCAUUUAAAGAAAGCGUAAUAGCUCACUAGUCGAGUCGGCCUGCGCGGAAGAUGUAACGGGGCUCAAACCAGGCACCGAAGCCGCGGAUUCACACUAAGUGUGAGUGGUAGGGGAGCGUUCUGUAAGUCUGCGAAGGUGUAUCGAGAGGUAUGCUGGAGAUAUCAGAAGUGCGAAUGCUGACGUAAGUAACGAUAAAGGGGGUGAAAAGCCUCCUCGCCGGAAGACCAAGGGUUCCUGUCCAACGUUAAUCGGGGCAGGGUGAGUCGACCCCUAAGGCGAGGCCGAAAGGCGUAGUCGAUGGGAAGCAGGUUAAUAUUCCUGCACGACUUGUAAUUGCGAUGGGGGGACGGAGAAGGCUAGGUGGGCCAGGCGACGGUUGUCCUGGUGAAAGUGCGUAGGUGGUGUUUCUAGGCAAAUCCGGAGACACAACACUGAGACACGAGACGAACACACUACGGUGUGGAAGCCAUUGAUGCCCUGCUUCCAGGAAAAGCCUCUAAGCUUCAGAUUACAAGUCAUCGUACCCCAAACCGACACAGGUGGUCGGGUAGAGAAUACCAAGGCGCUUGAGAGAACUCGGGUGAAGGAACUAGGCAAAAUAGAACCGUAACUUCGGGAGAAGGUUCGCUCUUGACAGUGAAGUCCCUUGCGGAUGGAGCAGUUGGGAGUCGCAGUGACCAGAUGGCUGGGACUGUUUAUCAAAAACACAGCACUCUGCAAACACGAAAGUGGACGUAUAGGGUGUGACACCUGCCCGGUGCCGGAAGGUUAAUUGAUGGGGUUAGCGCAAGCGAAGCUCUUGAUCGAAGCCCCGGUAAACGGCGGCCGUAACUAUAACGGUCCUAAGGUAGCGAAAUUCCUUGUCGGGUAAGUUCCGACCUGCACGAAUGGUGUAACCAUGGCCAUGCUGUCUCCACCCGAGACUCAGUGAAAUCGAAUUCGCCGUGAAGAUGCGGUGUACCCGCGGCUAGACGGAAAGACCCCGUGAACCUUUACUACAGCUUGGCACUGAACAUUGAACCUACAUGUGUAGGAUAGGUGGGAGGCUUUGAAGGCGUGACGCCAGUUGCGCUGGAGCCGUCCUUGAAAUACCACCCUUGUAUGUUUGAUGUUCUAACGCAGGCCCCUGAAUCGGGGUCGCGGACAGUGCCUGGUGGGUAGUUUGACUGGGGCGGUCUCCUCCCAAAGAGUAACGGAGGAGCACGAAGGUUGGCUAAUCCUGGUCGGACAUCAGGAGGUUAGUGCAAUGGCAUAAGCCAGCUUAACUGCGAGACGGACAGGUCGAGCAGGUACGAAAGUAGGUCAUAGUGAUCCGGUGGUUCUGAAUGGAAGGGCCAUCGCUCAACGGAUAAAAGGUACUCCGGGGAUAACAGGCUGAUACCGCCCAAGAGUUCAUAUCGACGGCGGUGUUUGGCACCUCGAUGUCGGCUCAUCACAUCCUGGGGCUGAAGUCGGUCCCAAGGGUAUGGCUGUUCGCCAUUUAAAGUGGUACGCGAGCUGGGUUCAGAACGUCGUGAGACAGUUCGGUCCCUAUCUGCCGUGGGCGUUGGAUGAUUGAAGGGAGUUGCUCCUAGUACGAGAGGACCGGAGUGAACGAACCUCUGGUGUUCGGGUUGUCACGCCAGUGGCACUGCCCGGUAGCUAAGUUCGGAAUCGAUAACCGCUGAAAGCAUCUAAGCGGGAAGCGAGCCCUGAGAUGAGUCAUCCCUGACCCCUUGAGGGUCCUAAAGGGCCGUUGGAGACCACAACGUUGAUAGGUGGGGUGUGUAAGCGCGGCGACGUGUUGAGCUAACCCAUACUAAUUACCCGUGAGGCUUAACCAUACAACACCCAAGAAGUGUUCU